RNAcentral lists this non-coding RNA (21 nucleotides) under Caenorhabditis elegans. Lineage: Eukaryota; Metazoa; Nematoda; Chromadorea; Rhabditida; Rhabditidae. The record is from RNAcentral.
UGAAUUUCGAUUUUGUUAAUU